Molecule: long non-coding RNA, 1358 nt
Filed under: Salvia miltiorrhiza (redroot sage)
Lineage: Eukaryota; Viridiplantae; Streptophyta; Magnoliopsida; Lamiales; Lamiaceae
Description: long non-coding RNA (SMIL_LNC011083)
Source: RNAcentral
UUUACUUUGCGAUAUGUCAUGCUGUGUUUGCUUUCAAUAGCAUAUACAUCAUUCUCUGAAUGCGUUUCUACUGCAGCCUUAGAGCCAAAGGCUUAUGUCUCGGAGCUGCAAGCAGCAAUGGUGGGGACGUGCAGUGGAGUUCGAUUCUCUAUAUGCAGUGAGUUAUAUUUAAGUGACUCACACAUUUCAUUGAUCGUGCACUCUGCAUUUCUAGGUUUGGUAACUGUUAGGAUUGAACAUGUUAAGUCAUUUGUAGUUUGUAUUUCUAUGAUUUGGUGCUCGUAGUUUUUCAUAACAGUUUUUUGAACAUGUUAAGUCAUCUGUCACUAUAAUUCAAUAUGCAGUGGCAAUAUUUUGUCGUUGUCACUAAUACUUGUAGUGUCGGUGCAUACAGUCUCAACUCAACGACAAACACAAAAGUCGUCAUAAGUACUUAUAGUGACAAUUUUAGUAUAUAUAGUGACAAGAAGUGUCGCCACUAAAAGUUGUUCCUUCUGUAAUGGGAGUUUGCUAAAGCAAAAUGAGCUUCACAAGGCAACAUUAUUCAAGGAAGAAAUGCGCCAAAAGGGAUUCUCAGCUGAUUCUCAGACUUCUUCGGUGCCGACUGAACAAAGUGGAGAUGAUUUCUUUUUCAAAUUGAUGAAGUACCUUGCGCCCAAGGAUAUUGUAUCAUAGUCAUUUCUUCUUGAUAUACGGGGUUAGUGAUAUCGACAACGAAAUAUUGUUGCAAUUAUAAUAUUAUUGUGUGUUCCCUUGUGUUUCUUUUCAAAAGCACACAUCGUUGUCUGAUGCAUUUCCAGUGCAGGGCGAGGAUACCUGCAGCCUAAGUCUCGGAUCUGCAAACCUGAGUUUGAUUCUUGAUAUGGCUUGUGUUAGUUGGUGAGAUCCGUGAGCCAGUUGCGUUGUUUAGCUGUGAUGAACGAGCCGUGCAGCCGUGCAGGAGCCAGAAGAGUCGAGCUGCUUGUGAUCUUCUUUAAUGGCUUGUACAGUUUUAGGUUGGAUGGAAUGAGGUUUAAUAUUGGAAUGAGCUCCUCAGCACAAGCUCUUCAGCUGGCUACGAUUGUAACUGUCGGCAAGGAAAGCAACGCUGCGCUUGCAGUUCGUCUUGGUGGUUUUCGUAUUGUUGAGAGAAUUGUGUUUAGGAGUUGGAGGGUGUAGAUACCAAUUUGUUGCUAUGUGUUGUGUUGCUAAAUCUUCAUAAGCAGUAGCUCUACUUAUAACUUUGUUUUUGUUUAUUUAUUUUAAGUAUGUUUUUGGUGUAGCUUUUUUAAGAAUGUAAACUGCAGGAUGUUUUGUGAGGCAACUUUGAUUUGCAGAAUAAGUAGUUUCUGUUCAAUGUGUAUAUGUUUGGUGAAUUU